Long non-coding RNA from Strigops habroptila (Kakapo), 3739 nucleotides. NCBI's taxonomy places the organism in Eukaryota, Metazoa, Chordata, Aves, Psittaciformes, Psittacidae. The record is from Ensembl.
UUUGUUUUUAAUAAGGAGCACUUAUACUUGGAAGGAAUCAUUGUUUUGCAAAAGUGAUAUCAAAGAUUAAUAGUACAGGGCAAGCAAACAGAUUGCAAACAACCCUCAAAGCAGCUGCUGUGCAUAGGAUCUCAAACUAAACAAAAAAAUGCCUUAAACCAUGCCUGGAAACAAGAAGAAAUACAGCAUAUCCUGGCAAACCAACAGGGUUUAUGGGUUAGCAUUUCAAAAAGCCAACAACCUACCUACUCCUGCAUCUAGGAGUCCUACUGUGCUGUGCAACCAUCCCAACUCACAUUAACACCCUUGGGCUACACUACCCACUGGUGACAGUUGCCAGCCGGAGAGGGACAUGGAGACAGACCAUGGGGAACAAGGCAGACAGGAAGAGUGGCCCCCUCACCUCUCAAGGUCUGUCUAUGCAUAGCGAGGAUAUGACACUGCUAUAUCCAAAAGAGAAGAAACAAGCUCAGCUUUCAGUCUUGGAUUCUCCACACUUUUAAAUAGCUUGGUUUUCCUAUUAGCCAUUACUAUUAUGGCGUAACAUCUUUGCCAUAAACCCAAAAUUUCUAAGUAAAACAUCCCUGUUCUUAACACAUAACUUUCAACCUGAAAGUCAACAACAGGAAACAACUUUGUCACUUUAUUAUCAUAUGAGGAAAGACAACUGAAGAACUAAAGUACCCCUCAAAACAUGGAAAGUAGAUGAAUACACCUCCUUCACCUUUUCAGAAAACCAAAUACAAAGUGUGGGAAAGCAUGAGGCUGAGAAGACAUUUGUGAAUUGAAUGUAAAGGACUAUGAACUGGAAAAGUUGAAACCGCAUGACUCAAGACUGAACAAGAAUCCUCUCCUAAUAUAAAAACAUGACAAAAAAAGCUAACUGAAGGAGUUUUGUUUAAUUUGAUAUUCCACAUCUAAUAUCCAAAUAUUCACUUUUUUCAUAAACUACUUCAUAGCAACAUUUUUGUGUUACCUAUUAUCCACUUCAAAAGACAUGGAGUCUACCUGGAUGCAUGUCUGGGCUGAAAGUCAAGAAAGUUUGGGGACUAAAUAUUGAAGGCAAGCAGCAGAGAACAGUGAGCACAGAUCAAUAAAACUCCAUGCUAUACAACACAGAACUUGCACAACAUUCUUUGUGUGCUAAGUGUGCUAAGAGAAACAACAAGCUAAAAAAAGAAUUAAGUUAUCUUGGAUAUAAGAAGCCUGUCUUCUGAAGUGCUGUAAGGAACAAGAGGGCGAGUUUUACUACUCCUGUCCUAAAUAUCUACAAGUACAUAAACCCCUCACUUCAGUAGCAGAAAAAGAGCAGAGGAAGACAAAUUAGUUUUAUAGACUACCAAAGUUCAAACUAUUUCUAGCAUCUCAAACUAUAACUUCGCAUAUUCGGUGUGGCAGAACUCGUUUCAUACUACAAUGCUAAGAACUGAAAAUGAAUCUUCUAUUAAUUACAUUAAGACAGACACAAAAUAUGUAUUUCUACACUAUGCAUACAUCAUAUAGAGAUGAUAUUUUGGAUUUUGCUCAGAUGUCUAUUUAAAGCAUGUAAAUACUAUCCUUGCAUCACUGAAUGCAAGUUAGGGUAAUACUCUUCAAACUUGGAAGGUAGUUACUACAAUAAACAGAUUUAUAAAAAUAUAUGGAGUAAUAAACGUAAGGACUGGAUUUUUAACAGCCUUAAACAGUAACACAGUAUCUCCGAAGUAGCAUGUUGCCUCAAGAGGGAGGAAUUGUUUACAGGAAAAUAAGCAGGCGAAGGGAUUAUGUAGAUGAAAACAUGCAAGAGAAGGCUGGAAAUGCAGUCAAACUAAGAAACAAGUGACCCAUCCUAAUUAUCUGUUAGCAGAUGCUGCUAACAGAUGCUCUCACAUUAUGUUCAAAGUACAGCUGUGAGAACCAGAACCAGAUACCGAGGAUGCUAAACUCAGAAAGAGGCAUCUCUUGCACCUCAAAGAGAUACUUGAGAUAUCAUUCUAAGCUGACAAAGCACGUUUCUUCCAAUCAUCUCUGCAUUGUGAACCAAGCCAAAUGUAUACUAAGCCCUUUUGCUUAAGCUGUUAAUUUUAAGGCUUCAGAGGCAGAAAAAGAUAUCAAGGGUUAUUAACAGAUGCACUAAGCCUACGAAACUGUUUAUUCAACUGGUAGUAUGAUGACAGGUAUAUUGUCUUGUCUCAUUUACCUUGGCUAGUCUCUUCUCAAGAGAAUUGUAUGGAAGAGUAAAAGCUAAUUGGGAAAUUUCAGGGAAAAUAAAAGUAUUUUGAACUAACCAAGAAGUUUUACAUUACAAGCAACACAUGAAUUAUAAUCACUGUUGUAUUUUUCCUCCUGGUGUAGACUCAGCUUUUAAGUGUCACAAACCAUGAAAGCUUGAAUAAAAACCAGCUUUAAGACACCUGUAUCUGUUCAGAAGUAAACCUAAUAGCUACAGGAAGACAGAACAGCUCAGCAGGAGAUCUGCACAUCAAUAAACUCACAGAAGUAUUAGUAGCCUACUACAAAUUACAACUUUCUGAUACUUUCAGGAUGCUAGAAAGGGCUAUGCACAGCAACGCAUUUUUCAGAGUGGCACCUAAUUUCAUGGGGUCUGAUUAAUUCAAGGUUCUACCAACUGCAAGUUGCAGUAAGGAAGAAAAUAUCUACUUCCCAGACUCCAGUUUUUGACCCAGUGAAAUAUUCUAGUGCUAAUAUCUCCUAUAGCCUUUAACAACAGCUAGAAAAAACACCCCUGAGGUGCUCAGCCUUGCCAUGUGGCUAACAGAACUCCAACCAGCAUUGGUGGGAGUGUUGCUGCUGGUUUUAACGCUGGCAAAACUAGCGUAAGCUAACUAGGCAAAGCUAUAACAAGCUGAACUCAUAAAUGCUCUUAAAAAAAAUAUUAUACUGUCAUCCAGAUUCAGUGGGCCAUCACCAGAGCAAGAGUAACUUUCUACAAGACACCAUUUUCUUGUAUGUGAUUACACUUAAAAUCAGUGAGAUCAAAACGACAAUAAAUCAUGUUUUCACGACUUCCCAAGUUCCCUUUAAUGAAGUCUUUGCACACAAGCGAUGUCCUGCCCACACCACAUCCCGCAGUUCCCUGCGGCCGCUUCCGGAGGAUGGCAGCACAGAACUCCUCCUGGGACCACAAACCACCAGUCCCCUCUCCAGUAUGGGUUAGCUGGAAGCAGAUGGCAGUGCAGGGAGUCUUGGUCCCUGGAGAGCUCGCUCACCAAGUCACUCUAACUCAGCUCCUUCCUGCAGGUAGCAUAGCAGCUCGGUCCCUCUGUAUCCUGGCUGGGACUGCAGGAGACAGGAAUACGGGCUACGGGAUCACGGCUGUUGGUCUCUGUACGCCCAACGGGACACUUACAGCCUAUAAACCCCCAGCCUUUAAGCACUAUGGCGGAUGUCACCACCCGGCGGGCGACACCUGCGGCCGCGGCACGGCCAGCGCAGCGGAGGCCGCAGGACACGCGGCUGCUACCGCCCCAUCUCAAGGGCAUCCCUCCAGCGCCGCACGGCCACCGCUGCGGGGAAACCCCCGGGCCGGGGGCAGGGAUAGAGCCAGGCGGACACGGGAGCGCCUCGCACCCCUUCUCCAACUCGGUACAGCGACCACACGCGCGGAGGAAGGCGCCUUGGGAGAGGCGAAGCGCCGCUACGCUGCGAACCGCCGGUCCUGAGGAGCCACACCGCCAGCGCCACGCUGCCGCCGGUCGCUCCCCUCAGCGGCAGCACCGGAGCUCCGCCCGCCGCCACC